CCCAAAAGCCCUGACAGCGCCCGCCACGUCCACCCUGACACCGAAACGGACGGGUUUUCACCCAAAACGCAGGCCCAGGUCCCACUCGAAACAUCAUUCCCGAAAGACCCGGUUCUGACCCAAAAUAAUGUCCCCAAAAGACCCAGUUCCAACCCAAAAUGUGGCCCCGAUUCUGCCCUGAAACAUGAUUCCCAAAAGACCCAGUUCUGACCCAAAAUAAUGUCCCCAAAAGACCCGGUUCCGGCCCAAAAAUGUGGUCCCAGUUCUACCCAAAAUUUGGUCCCGAUUCCGCCCCAAAAUGCCGUCCCUGAAAGUCCCGGUUCCAACCCAAAAUGUGGUCCCAAUUCCAUCCUGAAAUGCCAUCCCCAAAAGACCCGGUUCCGACCCAAAAUCUGGUUCCAAUUCUGCCCCAGAAUGCCGUCCCCAAAAGUCCCAAUUCUGACCCAAAAUGUGGUCCCAAUUCCACCCUGAAAUGUGGUCCCAGUUCUGCCCCAAAACGCCGUCCCCAAAAGACCCGGUUCUGACCCAAAAUCUGGUCCCAGUUCCAACCCAAAAUCUGGUCCCGAUUCUGCCCCAAAAUGCCAUCCCAAUGUGGUCCCAGUUCUGCCCCAAAACACUGUCCCCAAAAGACCCGGUUCUGACCCAAAAUUUGGUCCCAGUUCUGCCCCAAAAUGCCAUCCCCCGAAAGACCCGGUUCCCACCCGAAAUGUGGUCCCGAUUCCACCCCCAAACACCGUCCCCAAAGGUCCCGGUUCUGCCCCAAAAUAACGUCCCCAAAAGACCCGGUUCCAACCCCAAAAAGUGGUCCUGAUUCUGCCCCAAAAUGUGGUCCCGAUUCCACCCCGAAAUGCCAUCCCCAAAAGACCCGGUUCUGACCCAAAAUCUGGUCCCAAUUCCGACCCAAAACAUCAUUCCGAAAAGUCCUGGUUCCAACCCAAAAAGUGAUCCCAAUUCUGCCCCAGAACGCUGUCCCCAAAAGACCCAGUUCUGACCUAAAACGGGGCCCAAAAGACCCAGUUCCAACCCAAAAUGUGGUCCCGAUUCUGCCCCGAAACACCAUCCCCGAAAGUCCUGGUUCUGACCCAAAAAAACUGUCCCCAGAAGUCCCAGUUCUGACCCAAAAUUUGGUCCCCAAAAGACCCAGUUCCAAC
Molecule: long non-coding RNA, 1151 nt
Filed under: Anas platyrhynchos platyrhynchos (common mallard)
Lineage: Eukaryota; Metazoa; Chordata; Aves; Anseriformes; Anatidae
Description: lncRNA (ENSAPLG00000025654.1)
Source: RNAcentral